This 346-nucleotide ribosomal RNA is filed under the name uncultured Anaerolineaceae bacterium. RNAcentral describes it as "bacterial SSU rRNA". It matches the Rfam family "Bacterial small subunit ribosomal RNA", at positions 1024 to 1382 of the family's 1533-position model. The record is from RNAcentral. Lineage: Bacteria; Bacillati; Chloroflexota; Anaerolineae; Anaerolineales; Anaerolineaceae.
GGGAGCUUGUACAGGUGCUGCAUGGCUGUCGUCAGCUCGUGUCGUGAGAUGUUCGGUUAAGUCCGCUAACGAGCGCAACCCUCGCUGUGUGUUACAAGUGUCACACGGAACUGCCGGUCAUAAACCGGAGGAAGGUGGGGAUGACGUCAAGUCAGCAUGGCCUUUAUAUCCUGGGCUACACACACGCUACAAUGGGAAGGGACAAUAGGUUGCGAAGCCGCGAGGCGGAGCCAAUCCAGCAAAACUUCCCUCAGUUCAGAUUGCAGGCUGCAACUCGCCUGCAUGAAGUUGGAGUUGCUAGUAAACGCAGGUCAGCCAUACUGCGUUGAAUACGUUCCCGGGGCUU